Molecule: ribosomal RNA, 187 nt
Filed under: uncultured bacterium
Lineage: Bacteria
Description: partial 16S ribosomal RNA
Rfam family: Bacterial small subunit ribosomal RNA
Source: RNAcentral
UCCUACGGGAGGCAGCAGUGGGGAAUAUUGGACAAUGGGCGAAAGCCUGAUCCAGCAAUGCCGCGUGGGUGAAGAAGGCUUGAGGGUUGUAAAGCCCUUUCAGCAGGGAGGAAAAGCGUACGGUUAAUAGCCGUGCGUCUUGACGUUACCUGCAGAAAAAGCACCGGCUAACUCCGUGCCAGCAGCC